CUCGGACCUUCUCUUGUGCAGUUCGCGUUAACAACUAAGCAUAUGAUUAUACCCAUAGCAGGAACAUCACCAUGAAACUUAGGGAAGAUAAAAUCGUUACAGUACUCAUACUAUUCAAUGUAAGAUUUUCAUCCAGGAUGAGAACAAACAGCGGCCACAGUAGAACAAGGGAUCACUGAAUUUAGAGUAGUUGUGGUUGUGGUAGAAGAGAAUUAGCUUCAGGAUCGCCAACUGAGAGACAUCCUUCGAGAGAGAAAGACCUUCAUGAACAUAAGGCACAAAACCCAAGGAAGCGAUACCAUUUUUAAAUGAAGAAUCCUUUGAUGCUAAUAUUGGUUGAUGGUUACUGACAUUGGAUCAGCAUGCGAAAUAGAUUCGUCGAUACUCGAAACUUCGAGGUCUAAAGAUGGCGGCGCGGAAUCCAAAGAAGAAUCACCAUUGAUAUCUGAAUAAUUAAACAAAGUUUAUGUAAGAGGAAAUUUAACCAGCAAACUAUAGGCUAUACCUCCACCAGAUGAACAUACUCUUGGCGGAAGUACCUUUAGUUUCCUGAUAUUAACCGAAUACCCAGGAACCCGUACGACUUUUGGCAAAGCAUUUAUUAUCCAUGAGAGCGUGGAUCGCCAUCCCAGUAAUCCAUAUACUCUAUAAAUCUGAAUACAAAAUU
This 667-nucleotide long non-coding RNA is filed under the name Brassica napus (rape). RNAcentral describes it as "long non-coding RNA (BNAP_LNC026834)". Lineage: Eukaryota; Viridiplantae; Streptophyta; Magnoliopsida; Brassicales; Brassicaceae. The record is from RNAcentral.